This 697-nucleotide ribosomal RNA is filed under the name Escherichia coli. RNAcentral describes it as "partial 23S ribosomal RNA". It matches the Rfam family "Bacterial large subunit ribosomal RNA", at positions 165 to 903 of the family's 2925-position model. The record is from RNAcentral. Lineage: Bacteria; Pseudomonadati; Pseudomonadota; Gammaproteobacteria; Enterobacterales; Enterobacteriaceae.
CAUAGGUUAAUGAGGCGAACCGGGGGAACUGAAACAUCUAAGUACCCCGAGGAAAAGAAAUCAACCGAGAUUCCCCCAGUAGCGGCGAGCGAACGGGGAGCAGCCCAGAGCCUGAAUCAGUGUGUGUGUUAGUGGAAGCGUCUGGAAAGGCGCGCGAUACAGGGUGACAGCCCCGUACACAAAAAUGCACAUGCUGUGAGCUCGAUGAGUAGGGCGGGACACGUGGUAUCCUGUCUGAAUAUGGGGGGACCAUCCUCCAAGGCUAAAUACUCCUGACUGACCGAUAGUGAACCAGUACCGUGAGGGAAAGGCGAAAAGAACCCCGGCGAGGGGAGUGAAAAAGAACCUGAAACCGUGUACGUACAAGCAGUGGGAGCACGCUUAGGCGUGUGACUGCGUACCUUUUGUAUAAUGGGUCAGCGACUUAUAUUCUGUAGCAAGGUUAACCGAAUAGGGGAGCCGAAGGGAAACCGAGUCUUAACUGGGCGUUAAGUUGCAGGGUAUAGACCCGAAACCCGGUGAUCUAGCCAUGGGCAGGUUGAAGGUUGGGUAACACUAACUGGAGGACCGAACCGACUAAUGUUGAAAAAUUAGCGGAUGACUUGUGGCUGGGGGUGAAAGGCCAAUCAAACCGGGAGAUAGCUGGUUCUCCCCGAAAGCUAUUUAGGUAGCGCCUCGUGAAUUCAUCUCCGGGGGU